This 405-nucleotide ribosomal RNA is filed under the name uncultured prokaryote. Its description in RNAcentral is "bacterial SSU rRNA". It matches the Rfam family "Bacterial small subunit ribosomal RNA", at positions 355 to 774 of the family's 1533-position model. The record is from RNAcentral.
UGGGGGAUAUUGCACAAUGGGCGAAAGCCUGAUGCAGCAACGCCGCGUGAGGGAAGACGGUUUUCGGAUUGUAAACCUCUGUCUUCGGUGAAGAAACAAAUGACGGUAGCCGAGGAGGAAGCCACGGCUAACUACGUGCCAGCAGCCGCGGUAAUACGUAGGUGGCAAGCGUUGUCCGGAAUUACUGGGUGUAAAGGGAGCGCAGGCGGGGAGACAAGUCAGCUGUGAAAACGAUGGGCUUAACCCAUAAACUGCAGUUGAAACUGUUUUUCUUGAGUGGAGUAGAGGUAUGCGUAAUUCCGAGUGUAGCGGUGAAAUGCGUAGAUAUUCGGAGGAACACCAGUGGCGAAGGCGGCCUACUGGGCUCUAACUGACGCUGAGGCUCGAAAGUGUGGGGAGCAAACA